AGACGCUGGCGGCGCGCCUAACACAUGCAAGUCGAACGAGCGAGAGAGAGUUUACUUUUUCGAGCGAGUGGCGAACGGGUGAGUAACGCGUGAGGAACCUGCCUCAAAGGAGGGGGACAACAGUUGGAAACGACUGCUAAUACCGCAUAACGCCCACGACCCGGCAGUCGGGUAGAGGGAAAAGGAGCAAUCCGCUUUGAGAUGGCCUCGCGUCCGAUUAGCUAGUUGGUGAGGUAAUGGCCCACCAAGGCGACGAUCGGUAGCCGGACUGAGAGGUUGAACGGCCACAUUGGGACUGAGACACGGCCCAGACUCCUACGGGAGGCAGCAGGUGGGGAAUAUUGCACAAUGGGGGAAACCCUGAUGCAGCGACGCCGCGUGGAGGAAGAAGGUCUUCGGAUUGUAAACUCCUGUUGUUGAGGAAGAUAAUGACGGUACUCAACAAGGAAGUGACGGCUAACUACGUG
Molecule: ribosomal RNA, 467 nt
Filed under: uncultured bacterium
Lineage: Bacteria
Description: bacterial SSU rRNA
Rfam family: Bacterial small subunit ribosomal RNA
Source: RNAcentral